RNAcentral lists this ribosomal RNA (460 nucleotides) under uncultured bacterium. Its description in RNAcentral is "partial 16S ribosomal RNA". It matches the Rfam family "Bacterial small subunit ribosomal RNA", at positions 338 to 795 of the family's 1533-position model. The record is from RNAcentral.
CCUACGGGAGGCAGCAGUGAGGAAUAUUGGUCAAUGGGCGCGAGCCUGAACCAGCCAAGUAGCGUGAAGGAUGACUGCCCUCCGUGUUGUAAACUUCUUUUAUAAAGGAAUAAAGCGAGCCACGUGUGCCUUUUUGUAUGUACUUUAUGAAUAAGGAUCGGCUAACUCCGUGCCAGCAGCCGCGGUAAUACGGAGGAUCCGAGCGUUAUCCGGAUUUAUUGGGUUUAAAGGGAGCGUAGAUGGGUUGUUAAGUCAGUUGUGAAAGUUUGCGGCUCAACCGUAAAAUUGCAGUUGAUACUGGCAGUCUUGAGUACAGUUGAGGUAGGCGGAAUUCGUGGUGUAGCGGUGAAAUGCUUAGAUAUCACGAAGAACUCCGAUUGCGAAGGCAGCUUACUAGACUGCCACUGACAUUGAGGCUCGAAAGUGUGGGUAGCAAACAGGAUUAGAUACCCGAGUAGUC